This is a non-coding RNA of Pelobates cultripes (western spadefoot toad), 509 nucleotides long. The record is from the annotation of a GenBank genome assembly. Lineage: Eukaryota; Metazoa; Chordata; Amphibia; Anura; Pelobatidae.
GGGGAAUUAUGUAAAAAUUACUAACGAAUUGCACAUUGAGGCCAAAAUAUCCAAUUUGAUAUUUUUUUUUUAUUACUUUUUCCCAGACAGUUCACUAUCUCACAUUUAGUGAAUAAAUCACACAUGUAUUUCUAUCCACAAAAUAUCGUAAGAAGGUCCACAGUGGUCACCAAAUUGUAUUGAUGGUCCAUAUUGCUCCACAAACAGGUAAAUCCCAAGGCAAUAUUGGAGCCACCAUUUCUGACACUUCCCGUAGGAUUCACUCGCACUUCCAGGAUAUCUUGUAGCAAUCCAGCAAAGAACGGACAUUAUAGUACGUUACAAAAAUGAGGACAGGACUUGGGGCCUGCUUUAUUAACGCCCUAAUCAGAGGAAAAUAGCUACGCCUGCUGGAAAACAUCACUUGAGGCAUAAAGGAAUAAUUGUAUUGAUUGUACAAAAAAGCCAACAUAUUCUGUAGCGCAGUGCAAUAGGUAAGUGGAAUAUACAAAUGAUUGCGAAAUUACAAG